AUUGAACGCUGGCGGCAUGCUUUACACAUGCAAGUCGAACGGUAACAGGGAGCUUGCUCCGCUGACGAGUGGCGAACGGGUGAGUAAUGCAUCGGAACGUACCCAGUCGUGGGGGAUAACGUAGCGAAAGUUACGCUAAUACCGCAUACGUCCUGAGGGAGAAAGCGGGGGACCGUAAGGCCUCGCGCGAUUGGAGCGGCCGAUGUCGGAUUAGCUAGUUGGUAGGGUAAAGGCCUACCAAGGCGACGAUCCGUAGCGGGUCUGAGAGGAUGAUCCGCCACACUGGGACUGAGACACGGCCCAGACUCCUACGGGAGGCAGCAGUGGGGAAUUUUGGACAAUGGGCGAAAGCCUGAUCCAGCCAUGCCGCGUGAGUGAAGAAGGCC
This 386-nucleotide ribosomal RNA is filed under the name uncultured bacterium. RNAcentral's name for it is "bacterial SSU rRNA". It matches the Rfam family "Bacterial small subunit ribosomal RNA", at positions 29 to 416 of the family's 1533-position model. The record is from RNAcentral.